AACAAAUAACAUUUCACUGUUUUGAUACAACUCUCAUUCAACAUUUCAUUAUUUAUAAAUAUAUUAUACUUAGACCAAACUAAUUAUAAUAUUUGAAAAUUGCCAAAGCAAUUAAAUAUACACAAUAAGUUGGAGUUUUAAGUCCAAAACUAGUGUGGAUUGUAUUACAUUUGCAAUUUCACAUAGCCGUUAUUUGUUUCUAUUCACACUGCAAGAUGAUAUAGGCAGUGGGAAAAAACCUGUUCACAAAGAUU
Molecule: long non-coding RNA, 254 nt
Filed under: Lathyrus oleraceus (garden pea)
Lineage: Eukaryota; Viridiplantae; Streptophyta; Magnoliopsida; Fabales; Fabaceae
Description: Pisum sativum (pea) long non-coding RNA (PSAT_LNC000467)
Source: RNAcentral